Molecule: ribosomal RNA, 520 nt
Filed under: uncultured Glomus
Lineage: Eukaryota; Fungi; Glomeromycota; Glomeromycetes; Glomerales; Glomeraceae
Description: SSU rRNA
Rfam family: Eukaryotic small subunit ribosomal RNA
Source: RNAcentral
AGCAGCCGCGGUAAUUCCAGCUCCAAUAGCGUAUAUUAAAGUUGUUGCAGUUAAAAAGCUCGUAGUUGAAUUUCGGGGUCGGUAGGUUGGUCAUGCCACUGGUAUGUACUGGUUUCACUGAUUCCUCCUUCCUGAUGAACCGUAAUGCCAUUAAUUUGGUGUUGCAGGGAAUCUGGACUGUUACUUUGAAAAGAUUAGAGUGUUUAAAGCAGGCUAACGCCUGAAUACAUUAGCAUGGAAUAAUGAAAUAGGACGUUCGAUCCUAUUUUGUUGGUUUCUAGGAUUGACGUAAUGAUUAAUAGGGAUAGUUGGGGGCAUUAGUAUUCAAUCGUCAGAGGUGAAAUUCUUGGAUUUAUUGAAGACUAACUACUGCGAAAGCAUUUGCCAAGGAUGUUUUUCAUUAAUUCAAGAACGAAAGUUAGGGGAAUCGAAGACGAUCAGAUACCGUCGUAGUCUUAACCAUAAACUAUGCCGACUAGGGAUCGGAUGAUGUUAAUUUUUUAAUGACUCAUUCGGCGUC